UACGUAGGGCGCAAGCGUUGUCCGGAAUUAUUGGGCGUAAAGAGCUCGUAGGCGGUUUGUCGCGUCUGCUGUGAAAACCUAAGGCUCAACCUUGGGCUUGCAGUGGGUACGGGCAGACUAGAGUGCGGUAGGGGUGACUGGAAUUCCUGGUGUAGCGGUGGAAUGCGCAGAUAUCAGGAGGAACACCGAGUGGCGAAGGCAGAUCUCUGGGCCGUAAC
RNAcentral lists this ribosomal RNA (218 nucleotides) under uncultured bacterium. RNAcentral describes it as "partial 16S ribosomal RNA". It matches the Rfam family "Bacterial small subunit ribosomal RNA", at positions 524 to 740 of the family's 1533-position model. The record is from RNAcentral.